AUCGACUCCCAUUGUACAGAUGAGGCGAUGAGGCUGCCCUGAUACAGCUUCAAAGGGCCACACAUGAGAAGCAUCUUUUAUAACAAAAAUCAGAGGGUCUGAGGUAAACUCAAAAGCCCCAGAGUCUAAGCAAGUUAUUCAAUGGGUUAUUCGGGAGAUAAAAGCCUGAUGAAAUGACAAAAAGCUAGAAGGUGUGUUUUCAGAUUAGUCACAAUGUUUCAGAUUCCUGCUUAUACAGUUAUCCAAAUAAUAGAAGCAAAACUUCCCCAAAUGUUGAGGUGAAUCUUCACUUGGGUGUCUCUCACCACAUUCACUUAAACUAUUCCUCAAAGUCCUCAUAUUGUUUCUUCUCCUUCCUGGAGUGAGUUAUUGUUGGUGUUUCCGCACAGCUGGACUGUUCUGUCAACAUGUUGUAUGGCGUUUUUAGUUUUAUCAAACAACAGGCUGGCCUUUUGUCAUGGGUAGGGCAAAACCAAGCCAACAGGGGUUAGUAAUAGUGCCCUUGAUUGGAGUCAGCUGCGGGGUCCGAGCAUUAGGGGAUUAUCUGGUGCCCCAGCUUCCUGUGGGCUCUGCCUCGCCUGAAGGGCUCUUCUGGUCUUGUUAAUAUGAUGAGGAAAUUCCUCAGGGUGCCAGGAAAUUCCUGCCCGGGCAUGGAGCUGACUUCCCGGUAUCCCAAGUCCCCUACAGCCAGUCAGCCAUGGAGCUGCCUCCAACUGACAAGCACAACGAAGCCCAACAAAAGCUGCUGGAACUCAAACAAACAGACUUGGGUGAGGCUGGGAGGGGAGUCAGGCCGGCGUCAUCCAGGCUCUGGGCCAGGUCGUUGUCGUGGCGAUGGCCAGUCCGUUUACCAGCGCGGAGCCGAGCCAGUUCUCUGAGGGGGAAACCCCAAGAGGGGGGCCUGUGCUUCUCCAAGUAGCAGAAACCCCGGAGAAGGCGUGGCAACUUGCAGAGAGCAUUGCCUUCUCUGAGGAGGUGGCAGACCCAGGGGGUUGCCCUGUGCUGAGUGGGCUCUCUUCAGUAUCCCACUUGCCGCCAGAUGGCUCAGAGGCCAGCAGGGGUGUGAGGAAAAUUCAGGACGCCAAGUACACCCAGACAAGGCACAGGUUGGAGGUGAGUAGCCUUCAUUAGAAUCAGCACAAUGACUGGUGGCCACCGGAGGCCCUGGGGAUAAAAGUCACCAGCAGUGCGGCUUCCCAGGCAGGUAGCUGAUGGUGAGCACACAGCAGAAGGAGAUGAAGAAUCUGAGCCGCUCAGAGAUGACAUCACUUGGCCAAGGUCACACAGCUUCUGCAGCCAGUGUUCUGUUUGGCCUUUGUGAAGCAGAGGGAACACACAUUGCACUUUUCUGAAGGAAAAACAAGCUGAUGUCAGGGAUUCCUUCAAGAAAGCAAAUUUCACGGCCAUUGUUGAGAUCACCACCCAAAUGUCCCAAACGCUGAAUGCACUUCUGUGUCUCAGCACAUGGCAUAACUGAUGUUCACCAUAAUGACCUUCAACUACCAAGGAAAGGUUAAUUUGUAUCUUGCAAGAUCUAUUUAAUAAGGGGGUUGGUGGUGGUGGUGAGCAACAAGUUUUAAAAAGAUCUCUGUCAAAACCAAAUUACCCAAGUUAAAAACUCCUUCUAGAAGACACUUAGCUUUAAACGUUACCCCCUCUGGAGGGGCUCCGCCCUUAUGUCGCCAGUACUGCUGCUGCAUCUGAGAAACAGGAACGAGCAGCGUCUCGCCAUUAUUUCUCUGACAAGCUCUCCCAGAAGAUGGUGGGGAUCAUGUGGUGAAGUUCUCUUUCUUGCACCAGUCUCAGUCUGAAAUUCCCCACACGCUUGCGGCCUUGUCCUGCUGGGCAGCCGGCAGUUUCCCCAGCACUUGCCCUGGCAUCUUGCCCCCUUUACACAAAGCAAUCACUGUUGCAGAAAAUGAGGGUCCUGUGACCAUUUGGCACCAUCCCCUGCCUGGCAUUUGCGUGGGAGAAGGAACUUUCUCUCUCCCUGACAAUGGAUUCUGAUCACAAACCAGCCCUUUUCAGAGAAACAGCUUCCCAUAGAAUGACUUUUGCCCACAGGUAAGAACUGAGUGGUGGAACAGAAGCGGUUUCCUGCGGGAAGCCUGUUAAUGUCACUGAGAAAUCAUUAGAAGGCCCCUGAAAGCCUCAUAUAGCUUUCCAAAUCCCACUCUUACUGCCAUCAACUCUGGUCCAGGCCUCCCUUCUUUUACGCCCUGGUCCUCUCCUUGAAUUUGUUUCAAAUGGUGGCAUAUCUAGUGCCUGGCCACUGUGACUGGCACCCUGUAGUUAGUGGUCUAGAAUUCCAGACUUACCUCUCUACCUGCAGAUGUAAUGAUCCUUUCUUAUUAAUAGCAUUUCCUUGGGUUACCUUACUAAGAAAUUAACAUUGACACAAUGCUAUAAACCAAACUAUAGGCUUUACUCAGAUUUCCUUCAUUUUUCUAUUAAUGUCCUUUUUUUGUUCUAGGAGACUGCAUUGCAUCAUGUCUCUGUGAUCUGUGAGUUUUUUUUUUUUGUUCCUUAUUUUUAAUGGCCUUGACCUUUUCAAGUGUUUUAUUGAAGAUCCCUCAAGUUGACUUUAUCUGAGGUUUUUCUCAUGGUUAGACCAGGGUUUUGGAUUUUCUGGAAAAAUGCCACACAGGUGAAGUGCCUUUGCUCUUCAACCCAUAUCAGGAGACUCUGCCUAUUGGAAGUGAAUCACUAAGUUAAGCCCACACUCAAAGGGAGGGAAAUGAAGUUAUUCUUCCUGAAACAGGGACAAUUUACAUAUAUAAUUUGGAAUUCUUCUGUAAGGAAGAUGUGUCUCUUCUCUGUAGUUUAUUCAUGUAUUCAGUUAUUUAUUUAUAUUAGUAUGGACUCAUGGAUGUUAUAUUAUUUGAGUUAUAAUCCAAUACUUUCUGAGAUUCUUGCUUAAAUUGUUUUAGUUUUGGUCAGUGGAAUUCUUUCAGGUUGGUUCCUGUGUCUUCUUAACAUGCUCCGAAUUAAAAAAAAAAUUUCCUUACCUUCUGGCAUUCUAGAAUGCUCCAGGCUCACCUGGUAUUUUCCCCUCUUCAUCCCUGGGAGCAGUUCUUUCUCUGGGGAGCCCUGGUUCCUUUUACUGGAGAGUGGUAUUGGGAAACCAGGCUCUGACUGCUCGGUGUGCUGGUUGCUGUUGGGUGUCAUAGCUUCUACACCCUAUUAGUGGACAGAGUUAGGGACUAUAUGUGUGUACACUAACCCAUGUGUUUGCAUAUACCUCUAUGCAUUUCUGUCUACUGUAUAUUAAAAUAAAAAUGAAUUCCUAUGGACAUCUCCAACUCUAAUCCAGCCCCACAGGAUUCAUGCUGCCUCCCCCCUUCCCUCGUUGACAGUUCUUUAUCUGACAGUGAGAAACCUGGGUUCCAUUGCCUGCAAUUUAUAUACAUACUUGUUUCAACCCCAGUUACAUGCAGCUUCAGAACUGCUAUUCUACAUCCCUAUGAAAAACAAAAUUUUAACUAGAAUACAGUGUGUUCAUAUCAUUCUUUUUGUCUUUAGCCUUACAGAUUCCAGUCAAAACAUCAUCUUCCAAAUUUACUUAGGUUAGCUCCUUUUUUCCCCUUCCUGACGGGCACAUCUUUAUAUUUUCCAAGCAUUUCUGCAUCUGGCUUCACCUUUGAUGGAGUCACUACCGUCAUGUGAGGGAAGAGGGAUCGUGCUGUGUGGAGGUUGCAUUGGUUGCCUCCUGUCCCAGGAUCAGUUGAAUCCAUGGUUAGAAUUUGGGACUUUGGGCUUUGCUGGACCACACUGCCUUUCCUGCUGCUGUUUGCUUGGUGGGUCUAGGCUGCAGGGACAGCUGUGACAUAUAUAUCUGGUUAAAGGAGAAAGUGAAGUCUGCUGAACAGUUGUCUCUCCCUGAGGCAGAAUCAUCAGAUGUCAGGGGGAAGGAAGCUGAGAGAUUUCAUGGUUUAACCUACUGCUCUUACAGGUGGGGAAACUGAGGCCUACAGAAGUGAUGUGACUUGUCCCAGAUGAACUGGCUGGUUAGAGCCAUCAGUGGGGACAGGAUCCACGGCUCUGCUCUCUCAUAUCUGUGCUCUCCUCACCACUCCGUGGGGAGCUACAGAGUCAGAGGUCAGAGCUCUGCAGGAAAAAGCCCUUUGCAAUUGCUUAAACAGGUGAGCCAAUUCACCACCAUUUCCUGAAUAGAGAGCUAGGUCUCAGAGCAUUCCUUCAUACCUUGUGCAUUCUGAAAUGGGGAGAGAGCUGAUGAAGAAAUGACUGAUAGGUCUGGAAAUUUGGUUCCUAUAUAUCACACAGUAGUGACUUCAUCCAAAAGUGGUGACUUGAGUUGUCUUGUGAAUUCCAGAGCUACCAUUUAAAAAAUUUUUUUAAUCAGUGUCAUGUCCUCUUUUGGCAUCUCCCAGUACCUAAACAAACGGACAAGUAUAGUAUCUGUUCUGCCCAGGUAACGGGGUCAUUUUAAGGCUCUCUACCUAAUUGAAGGAAGGAAUCAAAUCUUUUUUUUUCUUUUUCUUCACUGACUGCUGAUUUCCUGAUCCCCAGCAUAGUACAUGGAACACAGUAGGGAUUCAGUAUUAAUGGAAUGAAACACAAGAAGGAUCAAUGAGAUGCUUCCGGUCAGAGUACUGGUUACCUCUAAAGAACUAUACACAUGUAAGGGGUUGUUAAUGCAUUAACUGACGCUCUGGCCUUGGGCGAGUUGCUUAACCACUCUGGACUUCUCAGCGUUCCCAUUUGCAAUAUAAGAUGCCCCAGGCUCAUCUUGUAUUUUGAAUUAAACUCGAUGAUCUCUAAGGUCCCUUUCAGAUCCCUAAUUCUGUAAGUUCAGUGUUCAUAAAGAGUAUUGUGAGGAUUUCAGACAGAUUUAGGAUACAAGAAUAUCACAAACCAUCAUGGGCUAGAACAAGGAUUCUUUCCCUGCGUGAAUUCUAGUUGAUUGGCAGCAUGGAAUGCCGUGUUGUGAAGGACUCUGAGGGUCUGCGGAAUAGAGUUAUAAUGAUUGAUUAGUGAUAUCUGUCAUGGGCACAGGAUACAAAGCAGUAGCAAGAAUGCCAAACAUCUGCUCUCUCCAUAGAUGCUCAAAACAGUAGCUGGAAUUUCUGGGAGAAAUGUUGUUUUUCUUUGCAUGGUAAUGGAGAGACCACUUGAGUGAGGCCGGGGUUACCUGGAGGUCAACCCAGAGCUCUGUAGACUUGUAGUAAAACAUCUUUCUGACUUUCAUUGCCUCUUUUUAUUUAUCAGGCAAAUAAAGUUAACAUGAUUAAUUAACUGAU
This is a long non-coding RNA of Manis pentadactyla (Chinese pangolin), 5261 nucleotides long. RefSeq lists it as uncharacterized. The transcript has 5 exons. The record is from RefSeq and is a predicted model, not a curated record. Lineage: Eukaryota; Metazoa; Chordata; Mammalia; Pholidota; Manidae.